Long non-coding RNA from Podarcis raffonei (Aeolian wall lizard), 1343 nucleotides. RefSeq lists it as uncharacterized. The record is from RefSeq and is a predicted model, not a curated record. The transcript is spliced from 2 exons. NCBI's taxonomy places the organism in Eukaryota, Metazoa, Chordata, Lepidosauria, Squamata, Lacertidae.
CAUGAACCCAUGGAAGUUUUGGACUUCUGGAUUGGAGUGCAGCUUGGUAAGUUUGUGUGUGGAAAAAGCCACACAUUCCAUGAAUGACAUCCAGUUCUGAAGGAACAAAUGGAAACAUAUGUAGAAGAACUCCUGAGGAUGUAUUAUGAGGACAACACCUCAGAAGGUUUUUACCAAGGGUUUAUAAAUUCAUUUUCACUAUACAAUAAAUUGUCAUAGGAUGGUAUCCAAUUUUAGUCACACAUAGAACAAGGUCAGUUAAAUCAAUAGACCUAACUUGGGACUAGGUUGAAAUCUGUGUUGGGAGGUCUAGAAAUCUCAGUGGAUAUUCAACCCAGAAAUAAUGUUUAUCUUUUGUUAUCAACACCACUGAGUUUAAAGAGGAUGUACAGUUUAAGAUGCAAUACUUACUUGGGAGUAAGUCCCAUUGAAUUAGGACUGUAGUAUUAGCAGCUUCGGGAUGUUUGCAUGGCUAUUAAAAAACCCCGCAGCAUUCCUAUAUGCGAUAACUACUUUCCAAUGACAGCUAUCAUUUGGAAACCUCUUGCUGUAACUUUUUUCACAAGUAUUACUUUUGAGACCAGAAAUUAUGUUAUUGGGAAUAUUUUGGCAACAUACUAUAAAAGCAUCAAUAUUUACUAAAUAAUCUACGUGUUACAGUGCAUAUUCUGAUUACAAAAUAUGGGAAGAGUCAGUUUGCCUACUCUGAAGGACUGGCUCCCAUUUGACAAAGGUCAGUUAACAGUAAAAAUCACUUGCUAUAAACUACUACAGGGAUUCUGUUUUUUGGACAAUUGGGAACCUUUAUUGAUCUACCAGUUUUUUAAAAAAAAUCAUACGAAACAGCUCAUCAAGAAGAUUGGACAUUAGAGAUCCAUCUCAGUCUUCUGGGUAAUUCUGUACCACCCCAAAGAGAUCAUGUAUCUUUGUGUGUUAAAAAUAUAAAAAUAAAACCAUUUUAAAAAGCUGGGAGACACAAUCCCAAAUUAGAUUGAAAACUGCAGGAUUCCUGAUUUCCUAAAAGCUUUUGCCACCCAAUUCAAUUUGUGAAUUUGUAGACUGUGGAGUAUAAAAGGCAAGAGUAAGGACUACUACACUUUUCCAAUACUUCAUAUUCCAGACCUGAGCCUCAGUCCAAACUGAACCAGGCAUGUAGGUAGGUUUUUUUGUUUGUUUUUAUGUAUAAAAAAUAAAAGUAACCUAGGAUAUAGCAUUUGGCUAGUUGCACUCAUUUCUGCAAAACUGAUCCCUGCAUCAUCUCCAAGAACAUGAUAAAAUCUCUAAAUUUGUGGCCUGGCAGUGGAAAGAAAAGUUCAUUCUUAUUAAAGUGGUUUUAAAAGAGA